GUCUACAGCGAUCCCACCGUAAAUACACCUCUCAUGUGAUCUUGAAAGCUGAGCAGGGUCGGGCCUCAUUAGUACUUGGAUGGGAGAGAGAGGCUCAGCAAGGGUAGGGCAAGGAGGCAGGUACAGAAU
Molecule: ribosomal RNA, 129 nt
Organism: Pan paniscus (pygmy chimpanzee)
Lineage: Eukaryota; Metazoa; Chordata; Mammalia; Primates; Hominidae
Source: Ensembl